Long non-coding RNA from Cataglyphis hispanica, 2838 nucleotides. RefSeq lists it as uncharacterized. The transcript has 2 exons. The record is from RefSeq and is a predicted model, not a curated record. Lineage: Eukaryota; Metazoa; Arthropoda; Insecta; Hymenoptera; Formicidae.
CUAAGAAUUGCGAUUAAAAUCAUAAUUCACCAAUUAUCAAAAUCGACCGUCAAUUGAAAACAAGAUUCAUCAAUUACUCACAAAAUAUAUAGCCUUCUUUAUUAUAAACGAUGUUGCUUUAAAAGUAGUAACGCGAUAUACGUCAAGUCCUCCCCUAAUAUAAUUUGCACGUAUGAAAUCUCGGAUUUUUUAUGAAUGUAUGUAUGUCAAGCAAAUUGCAAUUUCGGAAAAAUUGCACGCCACGCUUUCCUUAGAAUGUGAAUGACAGACUUGCAAGGGUCGAAUCUAGAUCAUCAUGUCCUCGAUUCGCAGAUGCGUUUACAAGACCGCGUGCUUUAUUAGUUACAUUGAAUUCAGCACUUGGUACAGGCACUUGGUAAACGCGAUUUUAUCGGAAAGUUCAUCGCAGACUUGAAUGACAAGCAAAAUAUAUACUACCUGAUGCUUGCAUCAAGUGCAAUCCCUUAUUGGAGUGCAAUACCUUACUUCCUCAUGUUAGACAAGAAACGAUUUUCUAGUCUUGCGAGCAAAUAAUGUUGCUUCUACGAAACAAUAUGGCAUUGCAAAAGAUGAAUUUUUUAUGAAUCUGAGAGAAGAACUUUCAUAGAUAAUCGAUAUAUCAGAAGAUUGCGUUACUUUGCAUCACGAUUUAUUCUAGUUUAUUUCAGUCAUUUUCAGUCACGAAAAUAAUUCCUUUUGAUGCACAAUGAUGCGUUUGAUGAUGUAAUGAUAUCUUAUUUUAUGGGUAUAUCAUAUGCAAUCUUUCGUUCCUUGAUAUCGAACAGAAUUUAACAAGAAGAAAUAUUAUAUCGAAACAUUUGUAGGCUUUUUACAAUAAAUUGGGCAAAUAAUUGGUUUAUAAUUAUGCACUCUGUUUAAUUUUCCACAUUAUUUCUCUAAAUAAUACAAUGUUUAUUCAACACUUUAUCUAAUAAUACAAUACAGGAAUAACUAUCUCGCUAUUGCGUUUUAAUUCGCACAAUUAUUCCACUUUCGCUCUCGUUCUGCCAUUUUUAUUAACUCAUCCUAUUCCUUAAUCCUUGUUUUCGAUGUCAGCGCGGUCCUAUCCAAAUAUCUCAAAUAGUAAAAUUUCUCUAACUUAUUGGCAUUUUAUUUCUUUCAUAGGCGUGUAUACGUUAUUCAACGUGAUUUCGUCAAUGUUGAUUGCCAAUCGUGGAUAAUUAAUUAAAACUAUAAGAUAGCUUAUUUACGAUUGUUCAUUAUAUUCAAACAAUUUUAGAGCUUAUCUCUGUUAAUCGAAAGUUCUUCUCUGAGACAGCAACCAUGCUCGAUCCAAAGAGAACAUACAUCAAUCGGUCCGUACUAGCUUAUAAUAACUGAAGAUUUAACAUUAGAUAGAAUGUUGCAACUUAACAAAAAUUGAUUGAUCGAACAUUGUUGAUAAUACAUAUCCUCUUUUCAUCACUGUAAAAUCGCGCUGAUAUUACUGUCGAAUUUGAAACAAAAUAUACGAAUUACUCAUGUAUUAUUGUGUUCAUAGAUUUUACAUGCGAUAGUUUAAUAAGUCAUUUAAAAUUUCCGUUUCUUUUUUUGUCACUCCUGCAUGUUCACUAAAUUUAAAGAAUUUCUAAUAAAACUUCUUAUUAAUCUUAAUUGAUUUUACUUUUGAUUUUAUGACAAAUUUAUGGCGCUGUAAUUGCUACAGAAUUAUAUGAAUGUAUAUCGUUUUGUGUAAAUAACUAUUUAUAUAAUCAUAUGUGCCAUUUUUUAGAGCAUUUGUAAGAUUAAUCAUUACUUUUUAAUAAAACAUUGAUUAAAUUAGCCAACUUUUCUAUAAAAGUGCAAGGAUUUUUAUGCUUGAACUUAGUAGAGAAAAGAGGAAAUAUAAGAUAUUAUAUAACAGAAUUGCAAAAUCGUAUGUAACACUGAUAACGAGAGUAAUAUUAAUAAAAUAUAAAUAAUAUUAUUAAACAACAUUAAGAAAUCUCUCUUUUUUUAUCUCUCUUUGUCAAUGUAAUGUAAAAUGUAAAAGAGUUUGUUUCAUAUAUAUAAAAAUUUACCUGAAACUUAAAAUAUAUAAAAUACUUUGAUAAUUUUUACGAUUAAAUGCGGAUUUACACAAUGUGGAGUACAUAUGAUGACGAGUAGCAAAGUAAUAAGCAAAUUAUUCAUAUUAUUUUUCACUACUUCAGGGAAGAAUCUGCAAACAAAAAAAAUGCAGCUAAUAUAGUUAUUAAUAAGCUGUAGAGAUAAAUAUUAUGUAUAAUUGUGAGAUAAUUUAGUAAAAACUUACUGAAGUGUGAAUAACAAGAAAUCUGCUAUGUCCUCCACAUACCAUUCCGGGCGAUAAAUUUGCACGUAAUUUCUUGGGGGAAGUUUGGAAGAGGAUUACCCGGAGCAGUCUGCAUCAGAAUACUCCGCAAAACCUCGGCGACUGAUGUAUAAAAAUACGAUUUGCAAAAAUAUUAAAACAGAUAAAGGAAUCUAAUACUUCGAACGAGAGAAAGACGCCGUUCCCGAAACUCGACGAUAGGAUCAUAAGAUUAGCGACGAUAGCUGCAGACGAAUCUGAUUUUGGCACUGUUGUUUGGAGCUGGGACGUAAGAUAGAUAAAGCUCUAUCUAUCUAUAUAUAUAUAUGUAAUAUAUUUAUGAUCCGACUCGUAGCCUUUUUAUUAUAUGUAUGUAUAUACAUAUAUACAUACAUAUAUAUAUAUACAUAUAUAUAUAUAUAUAUACAUACAAUCUCAGGCUCGAUGCUCGAUAUUCCAUUCCUUCUAUAACUUCUCGUUAUUCUCUCUUUCUUUCUCGCUCUUUCGUUUUCAUUUCUCAUAAAAAGUCACGUCCAUGUCGCAAAAAAAAAAACGAAAAAGAGAAA